RNAcentral lists this transfer RNA (72 nucleotides) under Ixodes scapularis (black-legged tick). RNAcentral's name for it is "tRNA-Ser for anticodon GGA". It matches the Rfam family "tRNA". From Rfam's summary of the family: Transfer RNA (tRNA) molecules are approximately 80 nucleotides in length. Lineage: Eukaryota; Metazoa; Arthropoda; Arachnida; Ixodida; Ixodidae. The record is from RNAcentral.
CCCUAGUUAGCUUAGUCGGUAGACGCUCUACUGGAAAUGGAGAGGUCCCGGGUUUGACACCCGGACCAGGCG